This 497-nucleotide ribosomal RNA is filed under the name uncultured bacterium. RNAcentral describes it as "partial 16S ribosomal RNA". It matches the Rfam family "Bacterial small subunit ribosomal RNA", at positions 28 to 507 of the family's 1533-position model. The record is from RNAcentral.
GAUGAACGCUGGCGGCGUGCCUAAUACAUGCAAGUCGAGCGAACAGACGAGGAGCUUGCUCCUCUGACGUUAGCGGCGGACGGGUGAGUAACACGUGGAUAACCUACCUAUAAGACUGGGAUAACUUCGGGAAACCGGAGCUAAUACCGGAUAAUAUAUUGAACCGCAUGGUUCAAUAGUGAAAGACGGUUUUGCUGUCACUUAUAGAUGGAUCCGCGCCGCAUUAGCUAGUUGGUAAGGUAACGGCUUACCAAGGCGACGAUGCGUAGCCGACCUGAGAGGGUGAUCGGCCACACUGGAACUGAGACACGGUCCAGACUCCUACGGGAGGCAGCAGUAGGGAAUCUUCCGCAAUGGGCGAAAGCCUGACGGAGCAACGCCGCGUGAGUGAUGAAGGUCUUCGGAUCGUAAAGCUCUGUUAUUAGGGAAGAACAAAUGUGUAAGUAACUAUGCACGUCUUGACGGUACCUAAUCAGAAAGCCCCGGCUAACUACGUG